This 261-nucleotide unclassified non-coding RNA is filed under the name fungal sp. RNAcentral's name for it is "partial internal transcribed spacer region". The stretch from base 1 to 44 matches the Rfam family "Eukaryotic small subunit ribosomal RNA", at positions 1788 to 1831 of the family's 1831-position model. The record is from RNAcentral. Lineage: Eukaryota; Fungi.
GUCGUAACAAGGUUUCCGUAGGUGAACCUGCGGAAGGAUCAUUACCACACCAAAAAAACUCCAACGUGAAUGUAUUCUUGUAUGAGGUUUGUGCCUUGUUCUCUGUAAAAGGAGACCUUGUGCUAGCUGAAGGCGUUCUUUCGGGAACAAGCCGAUGUAUUUUUCAAUCCAAAACAUAACCCAAUAUACUGAAAUCUAGACUGCAGGUAGAAAUGCCUGUACUGAACGAAAUACAACUUUCAACAGUGGAUGUCUAGGCUC